UGCCCUGCCGGAUGGCGUAAAAAGACGGAACCGAACAAUCAUGUGGGAGCUACCCCGUAAAAAGUGUA
Oribacterium sp. oral taxon 078 is the source of this 68-nucleotide non-coding RNA. Lineage: Bacteria; Bacillati; Bacillota; Clostridia; Lachnospirales; Lachnospiraceae. The record is from Rfam.